GACGAACGCUGGCGGCGUGCUUAACACAUGCAAGUCGAACGGAAAGGCCCUGCUUAUGUGGGGUGCUCGAGUGGCGAACGGGUGAGUAACACGUGAGUAACCUGCCCUUGACUUUGGGAUAACUUCAGGAAACUGGGGCUAAUACCGGAUAGGAGCUCCUGCUGCAUGGUGGGGGUUGGAAAGUUUCGGCGGUUGGGGAUGGACUCGCGGCUUAUCAGCUUGUUGGUGGGGUAGUGGCUUACCAAGGCUUUGACGGGUAGCCGGCCUGAGAGGGUGACCGGCCACAUUGGGACUGAGAUACGGCCCAGACUCCUACGAGAGGCAGCAGUGGGGAAUAUUGCACAAUGGGCGGAAGCCUGAUGCAGCAACGCCGCGUGCGGGAUGACGGCCUUCGGGUUGUAAACCGCUUUCGCCUGUGACGAAGCGUGAGUGACGGUAAUGGGUAAAGAAGCACCGGCUAACUACGU
RNAcentral lists this ribosomal RNA (467 nucleotides) under uncultured bacterium. Its description in RNAcentral is "partial 16S ribosomal RNA". It matches the Rfam family "Bacterial small subunit ribosomal RNA", at positions 28 to 506 of the family's 1533-position model. The record is from RNAcentral.